ACACCCUCAAGCACUGCUUGGUGUUGGGCGUCUGUCCCGCCUUCGCGCGUGGACUCGCCCCAAAGUCAUUGGCAGCGGUCUCAGCACCUCAACGCGCAGUACAAUGCGUUCAUUGGAGUGUCGUGGGCGCGACCAUAAAGCUAUUACCGU
Molecule: unclassified non-coding RNA, 150 nt
Filed under: uncultured Ascomycota
Lineage: Eukaryota; Fungi; Ascomycota
Also listed under: 1 other name
Description: sequence contains ITS2
Source: RNAcentral